Molecule: ribosomal RNA, 520 nt
Filed under: uncultured bacterium
Lineage: Bacteria
Description: bacterial SSU rRNA
Rfam family: Bacterial small subunit ribosomal RNA
Source: RNAcentral
GAUUCUGGCUCAGAUUGAACGCUGGCGGCGUGCUUAACACAUGCAAGUCGAACGCGAAAGGGACUUCGGUCCUGAGUAAAGUGGCGCACGGGUGAGUAACGCGUGGAUAAUCUGCCCUUAUGAUCGGGAUAACAGUUGGAAACGGCUGCUAAUACCGGAUACGCUCAAAAUGAACUUUUUGAGGAAAGAUGGCCUCUGCUUGCAUGCUAUCACGUAAGGAUGAGUCCGCGUCCCAUUAGCUUGUUGGCGGGGUAACGGCCCACCAAGGCAACGAUGGGUAGCCGAUUUGAGAGGAUGAUCGGCCACACUGGAACUGAAACACGGUCCAGACUCCUACGGGAGGCAGCAGUGGGGAAUAUUGCGCAAUGGGCGAAAGCCUGACGCAGCGACGCCGCGUGAGGGAUGAAGGUUUUCGGAUCGUAAACCUCUGUCAGAAGGGAAGAAACUACGUUGUGCUAAUCAGCAGCGUACUGACGGUACCUUCAAAGGAAGCACCGGCUAACUCCGUGCCAGCCGCCGC